RNAcentral lists this long non-coding RNA (532 nucleotides) under Brachypodium distachyon (stiff brome). RNAcentral describes it as "long non-coding RNA (BDIS_LNC004731)". Lineage: Eukaryota; Viridiplantae; Streptophyta; Magnoliopsida; Poales; Poaceae. The record is from RNAcentral.
ACAAAAUUUGACCGAAGCCAUAUCCAAUAAUCUGGUUAGCGGGUGGAUCAAAACAAACAUAUGCCUCGUUUUUUCGGCUUCUAGGAGCGGCUUCCGCUGAAAGUUGUCCUCCAGUUUGCAGGGAUAGCUUCUCGAAAAAACGGAUCUAGGAGCAACUGGGUGGUAUGUGCGCUUGCUAAGCCUCAAGUCAUAUAUCUUAAUUCUUGAUAUGUUUGUUUGAAAGAGUAGCUAACCUCUCGUACUUUAGGGCCUAGUUUUGAAAACCGGACCGGACCACCGGAACCGGAGGCCUGGCAGGUCUGCUAAGCGCACUGGACCGGACAGGCAAGCGAACCGGAUAUUCUUCGGUCGAACCGGCGAUUUUCGCGUGAACCGGUGACGGUCCGAGCGGUCUGACCGCCAAAUGGGCCUUGUUUAGUGUUUUUUCAUGGGCCGCGUCAUUGUAGUCUAAAAAUUGGUGUCGUCGGUGGGAUUCGAUCCCAGGACGUAGGCGAAAGGGUCGCGCGGACCAGCGGAGUAGCCAGAAGAGCCG